GAUCCUGGCUCAGGACGAACGCUGGCGGCGUGCCUAAUACAUGCAAGUAGAACGCUGAAGGAGGAGCUUGCUUCUCUGGAUGAGUUGCGAACGGGUGAGUAACGCGUAGGUAACCUGCCUGGUAGCGGGGGAUAACUAUUGGAAACGAUAGCUAAUACCGCAUAAUAUUGACUAUUGCAUGAUAGUCAAUUAAAAGGUGCAAUUGCAUCACUACCAGAUGGACCUGCGUUG
RNAcentral lists this ribosomal RNA (231 nucleotides) under uncultured bacterium. Its description in RNAcentral is "partial 16S ribosomal RNA". It matches the Rfam family "Bacterial small subunit ribosomal RNA", at positions 15 to 238 of the family's 1533-position model. The record is from RNAcentral.